AUAAUGAGAUAAGUCGUAACAUAGUAGAUGUACUGGAAAGUGUAUCUAGGAUUAACAU
RNAcentral lists this ribosomal RNA (58 nucleotides) under Ceylonthelphusa sanguinea. RNAcentral's name for it is "partial 12S ribosomal RNA". Lineage: Eukaryota; Metazoa; Arthropoda; Malacostraca; Decapoda; Parathelphusidae. The record is from RNAcentral.